CCUACGGGGGGCAGCAGGGAAUCUUCCACAAUGGACGAAAGUCUGCUGGAGCAACGCCGCGUGUGUGAUGAAGGGUUUCGGCUCGUAAAACACUGUUGUAAGAGAAGAAUGACAUUGAGAGUAACUGUUCAGUGUGUGACGGUAUCUUACCAGAAAGGAACGGCUAAAUACGUGCCAGCAGCCGCGGCAAUACGUAUGUUCCAAGCGGUGUCCGGAUUUAUUGGGCGUAAAGCGAGCGCAGCCGGUUGUAUAAGUCCGAAGCGAAAGCCCCCAGCUUAACUGUGGAAGUGCUUCAGAAACUGGAUAACUAGAGUGCAGUAGAGGGGAGUGGAACUCCGUGUGUAGCGGUGAAAUGCGUAGAUAUAUGGAAGAACACCAGUGGCGAAGGCGGCUCUCUGGACUGUAACUGACGUUGAGGCUCGAAAGUGUGGGUAGCAAACAGGAUUAGAUACCCUAGUAGUC
Molecule: ribosomal RNA, 462 nt
Filed under: uncultured Weissella sp.
Lineage: Bacteria; Bacillati; Bacillota; Bacilli; Lactobacillales; Lactobacillaceae
Description: bacterial SSU rRNA
Rfam family: Bacterial small subunit ribosomal RNA
Source: RNAcentral